Small nuclear RNA from Ailuropoda melanoleuca (giant panda), 105 nucleotides. NCBI's taxonomy places the organism in Eukaryota, Metazoa, Chordata, Mammalia, Carnivora, Ursidae. The record is from Ensembl.
GUGCUCACUUCCACAACACACAUACUAAAAUUGGAACGAUACAGAGAAGGUUAGCAAGCCCCUCACAAGGACAGCACGCAAAUUUCUGAAGUUUCCUUAUUUUUU